GGAUACACGUUCUAGAACAGAUAUUCCUAAUUCAGGAGCUGAUUGCAGAAAAAAGAAUGCCCAUUUCUGAACUCAGCUGAGAGCAAUCAGUGCUAAUCCACCACGUGUACCAGCUUCCCGCGGAUGCCGAAGUGGUCCCAGAAUCCUCUGUCCGCAGGCGCCAUCAGGGUUUCUCUCCCGAACUCCGUGGGUCUCCGCUCCUCGUCACGCUUCUCGCCCUCACAGGGAGACAAGGAGACAAAUAAAGAAAAGUUCCUCAGGCAUUGUCUAGCUUUGCAUCAAGUCAAUUUCCAGGAGGGCUGAAUCUUAAAUUUGAAGAUGCUGAGCACCAGAGGAAUUAAGAAUACAGUCGUCUUGUAUCCAGUGUCAUGGAUAGCUACUUAAAAUCUCCUGGACAGAGUUUGCAGAUAUAUAUUUUGAAAAUCUUACUCUCAGUAUUUAUUUCAACUCUUUCGGUAAAUUUUAGAGUUUAAAAAAAUAGAAGAAGAAGGAGAAGAAAACGGUGGCUCUCACUGCUGGAGCGAGGCGGAAGGAGCACGGGAAGAUGGCGCCGGCCCCCCGGCCUCCUCUAGGAAGGCACCUGUAGGUGCCCACACACCGGAUGCCUGUCCUCAGGCCGACGGGGCCAGACCAGCAAAUGACCCUCCUUCAGUCUGGACGCCUCUCCUUUAGCCGCUUGUGUGCUGGACCCUGGAGCAGUUGCUCCUGCCACAGCCCCAGUGCAACUGCUGCAUGAGGACUUCAACAUAGUAACCACUAGAAAGCCCUUACAAUGCUGCUGCUGCUGCUGCUACUGCUAAGUCGCUUCAGGCAUGUCCGACUCUGUGCGACCCCAUAGACGGCAGCCCACUAGGCUCCCCCGUCCCUGGGAUUCUCCAGGCAAGAACACUGAAGUGGGUUGCCAUUUCCUUCUCCAAUGCAUGAAAGUGAAAAGUGAAAGUGAAGUUGCUCAGUCGUGUCCAACUCUUCGCAACCCCAUGGGCUGCGGCCUACCAGGCUCCUCUGUCCAUGGGAUUUUCCAGGCAAGAGUACUGGAGUGGGGUGCCAUCGCCUUCUCUGUACAGUGCUGCUGCCAUCCAAUAUUCUUUAGCCACCAGGACUAGCAAGACAGACUCAAGCUACAGGC
This is a long non-coding RNA of Bos taurus (domestic cattle), 1126 nucleotides long. Lineage: Eukaryota; Metazoa; Chordata; Mammalia; Artiodactyla; Bovidae. The record is from Ensembl.